This 266-nucleotide signal recognition particle RNA is filed under the name Microcebus murinus (gray mouse lemur). RNAcentral's name for it is "Metazoan signal recognition particle RNA (ENSMICG00000029699.2)". It matches the Rfam family "Metazoan signal recognition particle RNA". Rfam says of the family: The signal recognition particle (SRP) is a universally conserved ribonucleoprotein. The record is from RNAcentral. Lineage: Eukaryota; Metazoa; Chordata; Mammalia; Primates; Cheirogaleidae.
GCCAGGUGGGGUGGCAUGCCUGUUGCCCCAGCUACUGGGGAGGCUGCGGCGGGAGGAUCGCUUGAGCCCAGGAUCUCUGAGCUGUAGUGCGCUAUGCCCAUCGGGUGUCCACACUAAUAUAGUGUGAUCUCCCAGGAGUGAGGGACCACCAGGUUGCCUAAAGGGGGGUGAACUGGUGCAGGUCAAAACUCUCUCGCUGAUCAGCAGUGGGACUGCCUGUGAAUCGCCACUGCACUCCAGUGGCAACAUGGCAAAACCCCAUCUCU